AUUGAACGCUGGCGGCAUGCCUUACACAUGCAAGUCGAACGGCAGCACGGGUGCUUGCACCUGGUGGCGAGUGGCGAACGGGUGAGUAAUACAUCGGAACAUGUCCUGUAGUGGGGGAUAGCCCGGCGAAAGCCGGAUUAAUACCGCAUACGAUCUACGGAUGAAAGCGGGGGACCUUCGGGCCUCGCGCUAUAGGGUUGGGCGAUGGCUGAUUAGCUAGUUGGUGGGGUAAAGGCCUACCAAGGCGACGAUCAGUAGCUGGUCUGAGAGGACGACCAGCCACACUGGGACUGAGACACGGCCCAGACUCCUACGGGAGGCAGCAGUGGGGAAUUUUGGACAAUGGGCGAAAGCCUGAUCCAGCAAUGCCGCGUGUGUGAAGAAGGCCUUCGGGUUGUAAAGCACUUUUGCCCGGAAAGAAAUCCUUGGCCCUAAUACGGUCGGGGGAUGACGGUACCGGAAGAAUAAGCACCGGCUAACUACGUG
RNAcentral lists this ribosomal RNA (486 nucleotides) under uncultured bacterium. RNAcentral's name for it is "partial 16S ribosomal RNA". It matches the Rfam family "Bacterial small subunit ribosomal RNA", at positions 30 to 507 of the family's 1533-position model. The record is from RNAcentral.